This is a long non-coding RNA of Magnolia sinica, 3249 nucleotides long. RefSeq lists it as uncharacterized. Lineage: Eukaryota; Viridiplantae; Streptophyta; Magnoliopsida; Magnoliales; Magnoliaceae. The record is from RefSeq and is a predicted model, not a curated record. The transcript has 2 exons.
UUGGAAGUAUGGGCACUAUCAUAGUGUUAUGGAUAAGACUUACAUAGUAUGUGACUUAUGUGGGUUCCGUUGGCAUUGCGUGGCACAAGCAAUAUCUUGCACAUUUAUUGUGGUCAAAUGCAAAAACAUGCGACAAAAUUACUCUAGAAAUCCAAAGGGAGAUCUUGGAGUAUAUGGAUAAACAAUCAAUAAAGAGAUGCGAUAGUGCCCUACGUCACGAGGAAUGUAUGGAACAAAACGCAUAUGAAGAUAUAAAUGUAGUUGAUGUAGAUGAAGCUGGUCCCACCCCCCUACUUCGACAGGUUGGUCUAGACCAUAACCAACAACCUCGAAAAGAGCCUGAGGGCAUGGGCCCAUGGAUAGAUGGUGUAGACCACACCCCGAGAAUGUGGUAGACCAAAGGGGUUGGGGCAAAGGGCUGACUCAAACAACUUUAAAAAACCGGUAUAAAUAAAAAGAUAGGAAAAUCACUAUUUAAUACAUUGCUAAGUGGUUUUACCAAACCAACAUUGCUUUCAAUGCAGUUAAAUCGAGAAGCUUCAAAGUUAUGGUUGAGGGUAUAUGUUAAUUUGGACCUGGGCUUAAACCUCCUCCAUAUCAUGAAAUGAGGGAGACAUGCCUCAAAACUUAAGUUGAUUAUACACAAUCCUUUAUAGCUGAAUAUAAGGAAUCGUGGAAAACGUAUGGUUGUUCCCUUAUGGCCGAUGGAUGGACUUAUAGAUCCGGUCGGACUCUCAUUAACUUUCUAGUAAAUUGUCCAGCUGGGACAAUAUUUUUGAAGUCUGUGGAUGCCUUGGCUCAUUCACAUACUUGAGAAUACUUGUUUAGCUUACUAGAUAAUGAAGUCCGGUCGUCUCCUUUUGGAGAAGAGGCGUCAUUUAUUUUGGACCCCUUGUGCGGCCCAUUGUGUUGAUCUGAUAUCAGAAGAUAUAGGUUGGCUAUUUUUAAAUGUGAUUGCAAUGGCUAGAAGAAUCACGGUUUUUAUGUACAAACACGCCCUUUUUUCAAUCGAAUGAGAAAAUAUAUUAGGAGUAACUUGCUACGUUCAUAACUCACCCGUUUCGCUACAAUCUUUUUAAUACUGCAAAAAUUACAUGCAAAAAAAUUAGAACUUAGAAGCUUCGUAGUGUCGGCCGAUUUUACAAGUGAGCCUUGGUUAAAGAAGGCUGAAGGGAAACAGGUUCAACAAACAAUCCUUUUCGCAAGGUUUUUGGACACAAGUGGUAAAUGCGCUAAAAGCAUCCGAGCCCUUAGUCACUGUGUUGUGAUUGGUGGACGGAGAUGAGAAGUCUGUAAUAGGUUACAUGCGAUGGAGAGGGUGAAAAAUAAGAUCAUGAAUCAUUUUAACUAUAAAGAGCGUAAUUACAAGCCAAUUAUAGAUAUUAUAUAUAGAAGAUGGGGCAACCAAAUGUCAUUUCCAUUGUAUUCAGCUGCAUAGAUCCUUAACCCAACUUGUUUAUUUGCUUCUCCUGAUCCAGCAGAAGCACUUACUAUGCAUAUGGUUGGAUUUAUUGAUGUGUUGGAAAGAAUGAUUCCAGAUAGAGAAAAACAAAACAAGAUCUCUGCUUUAAUAGACUUUUAUAUAAAGAGUGAGGGUAUAUUAUCAAGGGAUAUCAUCAUUAGGCUUCGGAACUGACUGGUGGGCUGCCUAUGGAGUGGACCCGAACAGGAAGGAUUUAGCUCUAAAGAAGCUGGCUAUGAGGAUUCUUGGACUCAUGUUUCUGCCAGCGGUUACGAGCGUAACUGUAGCAUGUUCGAGGCGGUAAGUUUAGUAAUUGUAAACUUCAAUUUAUAAGUGUAAGCUAAAUUAAUUAAUUAAAUAGCUAAUGCCAAAUGCACUUUCUUUCAUGCAGAUUCACACCAAGAAAAUAAAUCGCCUUGAGCAAAAGAAGCUCAACGACUUAGUCUUCGUCCAAUUCAAUAAAAAAUUGCGAGAAUGAUUACAGACUAGGAAAGAAAAGCCUAGUUUCUUUGACCUUAUCUGCUUAGAUGAGCUGGAUGCAGAUAACGAGUGGCUCGUAGAGACAGAGGACCCGGUAUUUGCUGGAGAGGACCUGACAUGGGCACAAGUUGAUGCCAUAUACGGAUUGACACCUGGAGAAUGUACCACUCGAAGGCGAAGGAUAGAGGGGAGCCGGGGGGCUAGUAGUAGCAGUCAAAUCGUUGAAUAGAUUGAGGAGAUAGAAGGAGGAGAUGAUAAUGAGUAAGCUAAAGAUCCACCAAUGGAUGUUGAUAAAGUAUUAGUACAUACAGAUGAUGAAGAAACAGAAGAAGAAGUGUAUGUGGAAGAAGGAGAUGACUCAAAUGAUGAUGGUGAUGAUAACGAUGGUGGUAGUGAUCAAAUGCUACAAUGGCAAAUAGAUCAAUGUAUAAAGUAUCAUGGCCAUUUACCAUUUACUAUUAUUUUGUUAUAAAUUAUAAUAGAUCAAUAAUAAAUAAAUAGCUUAUUCAUUUUGUUUACUAAGUGUGUUGAUGUUGAUUGUUGGCUGUACUGUUGAUUGAUAUUUGUUGAUUACUUUAUCAAAUGUUGAUGACUUAAUAUUUAAUUCAUUAUUUAAUUGGCUUUAUUUUACUCAAAUGUAUUGUAAGGGCAUAUAAAAUUAUUUAUCUAUUAACUAGCUCCCCCUACUUUCUUAUAUUAUUUUUUUCAUUAUUUUUUUCUUAUUUUACCCAUACUUUUCUGAUUUUUUUAUAAAGAUUUUUGAAAAAAAAAUUAAAAUAUAUAUACAUAUGCGACUGCAUAUGCGAUUGUGUGAUAGCAUAUGCGCACAAACAUAUGUGAUCGCACACGAUCGCAUAUGCGAUAUGACAACAUUGCUAAUAUCCUCACUUCCUUAUUGGCCAUACAUUUUCUUAGCUAGAUAUGGCCUAUGGAAGAGUUUACUUGAUUUUCUAAGUCUAAAUACAGUUUUUAUAAGAGAAUUAAUUAAAUCUCGAAACUUGUAAAUAGUUUAAUGAAAUAAUUUUCUAACUUAUUCUAAAUCUAAUCAAUAAAAUAGAAAUUAAGUACUAAACCAUAUGAUUAUGAAGCUCCAAAACCUACCCAAAAUAAGAAAAUAUAAACAUACAAUCACUAAUUUGAAAAAAAAAAAGGACUCAAUCCAUAAUGACAAUAUGACAUUCAAGCACAUCAUGUGAUCUUAUAUAAUACCACAUUCUUAUUCAAUCAUCAAACAAGAAAAAAAGAAAUAUCUACUUUUCGUAAUUUUUAAAAAUAGGCCCAAUUUUUUUUUUUAAAAAAAAACGAAA